This 430-nucleotide ribosomal RNA is filed under the name Pontoscolex corethrurus. RNAcentral describes it as "partial small subunit ribosomal RNA". Lineage: Eukaryota; Metazoa; Annelida; Clitellata; Crassiclitellata; Glossoscolecidae. The record is from RNAcentral.
AUUAUACAAAGAGUAAUUAAACAGCCCAAAGGUCUAAUUUCCACCGCGCCGUACUCCCACACCCUCAACCAUAUACGUGAAAUCAUUAACCUAAAACACGGAUUACAUACCCGUCUAUUUAUGCCAUAAAUAAAUAAUUGAACAAUACGGAACAAAAGACUAAAAAUCAAAAAAUUUGGCGGGGUUUCAUCUAACCAUGGGAACCUGUCCCAUAAAUCGAUAAUCCACUAACAAUUUACCUUCUAUAGCCAAUGAACAUCCUGUGUACUGCCGUCACAAGCUAACCUUUAAAAGAAAGUUACCAAACAUACCCCAUAACUACAUCAGGUCAAAGUGCAGCCAAUAAGCAAGAUGAACGAUGGGUUACAACCUAUAUAUAGAUAACGCACCAGAGUUAAAAAAAUUCUAUAAAGGUGGACUUGGAUGUAAU